This 246-nucleotide ribosomal RNA is filed under the name Triticum aestivum (bread wheat). RNAcentral's name for it is "partial small subunit ribosomal RNA". Lineage: Eukaryota; Viridiplantae; Streptophyta; Magnoliopsida; Poales; Poaceae. The record is from RNAcentral.
UUAGCCGCGUGCAAUUAUAAGUGGAUUUGGAAAGCGAAAAUUCCCCUAAAAAUUCAAAUCUUCCUGUGGCAACUCUUCCAGGACGCUGUCCUAACAAGAGACGUCAUGAACAUGCGGAAAUGGGCAGGCAACCCCAAAUGCUCGUUCUGCGGAGAAAGAUAGACGUCUCAACAUCUGUUUUCCACUUGUCCUAUAGCUAGAGUGAUUUGGAGGACAGUAGGCUGUGUUCUGGGCACUAAGUUAUGA